Long non-coding RNA from Equus quagga, 1549 nucleotides. RefSeq lists it as uncharacterized. The transcript has 3 exons. NCBI's taxonomy places the organism in Eukaryota, Metazoa, Chordata, Mammalia, Perissodactyla, Equidae. The record is from RefSeq and is a predicted model, not a curated record.
GCGAGGGCAUGGAGAGGGACACAGGAGCAGCUGGAUGAAUUAAGACGGAGAGAACGAGGCCCUGGAGAAGCAGGGCGAAGGUGUGUGUGGGAGCGGUCUGGAGAGGAGCAGAUCCUCUGCAGCCAUUCAGAUAAACAUCUGAGGUGCCGAGAGAGCUGGGUGUGGCCAAGGGAAGGAAGGGCGUGGAUGACAGACAGGCUGAGGUACAGAGGAGACAGGAGCGAGAGUGCACAAACCCAGGACUAUCUUCUCAUUGGCAACCGAAGCUGGGAGGUCUUCAGGUUAUCCAGAAAACCCGGGUCAAAUGUCCUUGGCUGACACCACGACUUCCCCUUGAGAACCUGAAAAAAUGCUGGCCCCAACGUUUCAGAAGGAAGUCAGGGAGUUUUAUAGGGAGAAAGGAGGGCAGAGGGAUCUGAGGCAAAUGCGCACAUCUAGGAUUUAGGAGUGCAGGGUCUGCCUCCAGCCCUUCUGGGCUGUGCUAGUGGUGUGGCCUCACUGGGCUAACGCAGCCGGGGUUUCAUGCAGUUCUGGGAAGUAACAGAGAAGCUAGUGCUAUUUUUGUCAGCAGAGGCACCCACUGGCCAGAAACAAACAAGAAAUGCAGCGUGUAUGUAGGGGGGAAAUGUUAAGGUCAUCAAAUAAGCCACGAUAAUUUCCAUUGACCCUUGGAAAGCAUCUUGACAUUCUUAUUGGAAAGGGGUUGGUCUCUAUACUGGAAUGUGAACCAGACGCACGUGGGUGAACGAGUCUGAUCCUCGUUAGACUUCGGGAUCUCUGGGAUCCGCUUACUGUGCUGAAGUUUCUCACCUAUAGGAAGUGGAUCUAAGGUGAAAAAUACCAAACUCUGCCAAGAAUAUUCCUCUCCUUCCUCUGCUUGGCAAACCCCAAGACCCAGCUCAGAUGCCAACUCCUUCCGUCGGCCGGUGCAAAGUCAGUCACCGCGUCAUCCAUCAGAGCAUUUAUGACACGGCGAUGAAAUAAGUCAUGAAGUGUUCAUCCUCCUGCUACGCUGGGAGCUCUGAGGACAGGCUCCAACUUUGUGUCCCCAGCACUUACCAUAGCACCUGCCACACAGAAGUGCACAGGAGAAGCGAAUUCAGUGGACAGGGAAACAGAAGGCAACCCCCCACCCCCAAAUAUUUGGUUGUGAGGAGGAUCAAGAAAUAAUGAAGGACAGAAAAGCUCCGUAAACCACUGUAUAAAUCUCGGUGAAUGACCGCUGCUCUUGGUUUUCGGGGAGACUGUCUAAUCCCAAAGACAUCACCCUCUAACCUCCCUCGGGUUUCUUAACAGAUUCUGCUUGAUAUGAUUAUCUCGACCACUAACACUUCUUGUCCAGCUGUGCCUUGCUAAGUGAAACAUCAGAACUACUGUUGAAUGAAUCCAGAAGCUUCAGGCUAUUUAAUACUGGUGGAUUCUGCUUUAACUAGGUUAUUGAAUUUGCUAUUUCCUUUAUGAUCUUCUCAUCUGUAUUUACAGGUGUCACUGGUUUAUCAUGGUCAUUUUUUGGCUCUUAUCACCUUCGGGAUUUUUAUACAUGUCUUAA